AGCAGUCGCCGCGGGAAUACGUAGGUGGCAAGCGUUGUCCGGAAUUAUUGGGCGUAAAGGGCUCGCAGGCGGUUUCUUAAGUCUGAUGUGAAAGCCCCCGGCUCAACCGGGGAGGGUCAUUGGAAACUGGGAAACUUGAGUGCAGAAGAGGAGAGUGGAAUUCCACGUGUAGCGGUGAAAUGCGUAGAGAUGUGGAGGGACACCAGUGGCGAAGGCGACUCUCUGGUCUGUAACUGACGCUGAGGAGCGAAAGCGUGGGGGGCGAACAGGAUUAGAUACCCCCGUAGUCCCUGUCUCUUAUAA
This 303-nucleotide ribosomal RNA is filed under the name uncultured bacterium. Its description in RNAcentral is "partial 16S ribosomal RNA". It matches the Rfam family "Bacterial small subunit ribosomal RNA", at positions 507 to 809 of the family's 1533-position model. The record is from RNAcentral.